Molecule: ribosomal RNA, 253 nt
Filed under: uncultured bacterium
Lineage: Bacteria
Description: partial 16S ribosomal RNA
Rfam family: Bacterial small subunit ribosomal RNA
Source: RNAcentral
UACGUAGGUCGCAAGCGUUGUCCGGAUUUACUGGGCGUAAAGAGCGCGCAGGCGGCUGGUCAAGUCCGAUGUGAAAUCUCCCGGCUCAACUGGGAAACUGCAUCGGAAACUGAUCGGCUUGAAGAUGGGAGAGGGUAGUGGAAUUCCCGGUGUAGUGGUGAAAUGCGUAGAUAUCGGGAGGAACACCAGUGGCGAAGGCGGCCAUCUGGACGGAUACUGACGCUGAGACGCGAAAGCGUGGGGAGCAAACAGG